GAUGAAGAACGCAGCGAAAUGCGAUGCGUAAUGUGAAUUGCAGAAUUCAGUGAAUCAUCGAGUCUUUGAACGCACAUUGCGCCCCCUGGUAUUCCGGGGGGCAUGCCUGUCCGAGCGUCAUUGCUGCCCUCAAGCACGGCUUGUGUGUUGGGCCUCCGUCCUCCUCCCGGGGGACGGGCCCGAAAGGCAGCGGCGGCACCGCGUCCGGUCCUCGAGCGUAUGGGGCUUCGUCACCCGCUCUUGUAGGCCCGGCCGGCGCUUGCCGACACAUCAAUCUUUUUUCCAGGUUGACCUCGGAUCAGGUAGGGAUACCCGCUGAACUUAAGCAUAUCAAUAGCGGAGGA
This 344-nucleotide unclassified non-coding RNA is filed under the name soil metagenome. RNAcentral's name for it is "partial contains 5.8S ribosomal RNA, internal transcribed spacer 2, and large subunit ribosomal RNA". The stretch from base 1 to 120 matches the Rfam family "5.8S ribosomal RNA", at positions 35 to 154 of the family's 154-position model. The record is from RNAcentral.